CUCCUUCCGUUGAUAUCCUUUCAAGCCAAUAAAUUAGUUCCUCUGCGGUUUUCUUCCUGUUUCGUCUCUGUAACUGUUAUUUAAGUACGUUUGCCUUCAGGUCCAAAUUAGACAGAGUGUCCACGAAACUGGUGAGCCCAGACUGACAUACAACCUCAGGUAAAAUAGUGGUUGCAGAUAAUUAUUUUGGACAACACACUCUAUUGCAGAACCUCCUGGGCAGUACAGAAGCCCUGAAGGAACUUUGUAAAUCAUGACAGCCCUAGAAAAUGUACACGGUGUGGAUAGGUGAUAAAGAACACCUUUAGCAAGAGUCCAGCAUGUACCUGUGUUAUAAAUUGAACUUAUGUGACAAUAGAACUAUUUUCUCCUUUUCUCACUAUGUGUCCGUGACUUGCUUUUAUUAUCUCAUGCCUGUAGUGGUUUUUGGAAGAGAAACAUUCCAGCCUUGGUUGCAGAGCCUAUAACCUGCAUCAGUUCAUCACCAUGGGCUGAGUAUCUUAAAUAGCAUUAGUAGUAUGUGUUAACAGCAGUUUUUAAAACUCAUUAAUGUGAAAAAAGAAAACUCUGUAUAGCAAAUGCUUUCAUAUUAGUAAGUAUGUAAAAUAUUCAGGCAUUCUUUUAAAAAGUAACCAGUUUACAAAAAUCUAGGAAAGGCAAUCCCAAUCAUGUAGUGAUCUCUAUGAAACCACUUAUUGUAGUUGCUGAUAUAUUGAAUUAAUGCAUGAUUUUAAAAUAUUUUACUCGUGACCCCAUAUAUGUCUACAUAUGGACACCACACAUGGAUUUCCGAGGAUCAUGCAAGAACUCUUAUUGGCUGAGGACCAGCACAUGGCAUCACAAUAAAUGGCAUAAUAAUGUCCACAAAAUAUAUUGCACAUACUCCCUUGAAUCCCCUUUGGGGAGAUAAAGCAGGGUUUAAUAAUAAUAAUAAUAAUAAUAAUAAUAAUAAUAAUAAUAAUAAUAAUAAUAAAGCAACUAUCAUGUUCCCCCUGAGGGGAACACCCCACAGUUUUGGAACCACUGAAUUAAUGGAAAAUUAAAUUUGUAAACCAACUUCACAUUAUAGCCAAAGCCAGAGUAAGGGGGAAAAAUCUGCAUAUAAUUAGAUGGGUAAUUGAGAGGGAGUGUGUGAAUGCUGGGGAAGGAUAAAAGGAAAAGAUAUGGGGAGGGCGGAGGAAGACCAGAUGACUUUGGAUUUGUCAAUGACAUGAAAUCAAAUAAAAAACUGUUGUUGAGUAUCUUGAUAGCUUACCUGCUUCUGCUUGAAAUUUGUUUUCUUGAGUUUACCCCCCCCCCCCCCCCCAAGCUGAACAACUUUAAAGCAUGCAUGCCAAUGGUUAUGCCAUUCCUCUUCACAUGGAGGAGGAAAAAACUUCCACACAGGCUUAAAGUAAUUUAUUAAUUAAUAAUUUGAGAUUAAUCUGGGAUCCUUAAGCAUUUACUUUUAUUUGCAUUAUGAACAAAAUUGCAGCCCAGCAAUGAUGCACCACAGAUCAGUUAAAGUGCCCAGUACUUUUCAGUUGAAAAUCAGUGAAAUUCACUUCCCAAGAAAUGUGUUUAAGAUUGAGAUUUAAAUCUAAGGAUCUCAUUUAAACUCCCAUCUGCAUUACAGGUUAAAGCAAAGGUAUUAUUCCUUUAAAUAUACAUAUAUUUAAUUUUCCCUUCUGGCCCUGGUUUGGAUUUGCAUUAGGAUUGAAGUGCUUUUUCUAACAAAGCUAGUAAAAUGACAUCAACAUUGAAGACCUUCUCUGCACGUGCAUUGAUUAGGCUUUAACAAUUGUGAAAAUGGUGUUGAAUUUAGAAAAGUAACUAGUUGACUUUGCAUUGCCUAGCUGCUUCUUAGCGUAAUCAUUCAAAAUUGCCUUUCUCAAAAUAUAGCCAUAUGUUUUGUAAAGGAUUUGCAGCUUUCCCAUUAUGGCUUAAUAUAGUCAUUUCUUAGUACAUACUGCAGGGAAUGUUGUAACAAUGAAUUGAAAUAAGUUUUCAAUAUGUGCUUUUACAUUAAGUGAAGAUGGAGACUUUUAAAACUUCAGGGUCAAAGAAAGACAUGAUUAGGUAAAAAUAAUGGCAAUUGUCAAGCUUCCAGCAAAUACUUUCCCAGUAAGUCUUAAUGCGACAGCUACACAACAUGUCCCUUGAUUAUGGUUGAUUCAAAUCUUUAUUUAUUUAGGUAAAAGCAGCUUUACUAUUUUCCCAUUCCUCAUGACCUUUAUGUCUCAUUUAGUCUUGAAAUUGACUGCUGCUCAGCAUUUUCCCUCCAUACUAAAAGCUGUUACUCUGCAGGGUUUAUAUUUAAAGCAUGCCAAGCAGCUAUUUACUAGGCUGGGGGGGGGGGGGGGGGGCUGCCUGUCAUGCCACUUACGAGCUUUAUUUAUUUUAACAGUUGCUUGGGAAAUGGUCACCAUCCGCACGUGAUGGCGUGCAUAGGAGGAAAGGAUUUUAUUUUUCUUGGGAUUUCACCAGUUUUGUAUUUAAAUAUUUAAAGCCUUUGGUAUAGAGGGCAUUUUCACAUAUUGUGCUUUUUACCAAGGCUGAGCAUCAAAGUGCUGAGUUGUAAAUCCAGGACAUAGUGAUGGCUGAGCCAGAUGUAGCUCAAAGUCAGGUGAUCUGAACUGUCCAUCCCAACAUCUGGUGUUAUAGCCUACAAUACUAUAUAUGCUAUAUCAAGCCUACAGUCUUAUCUCUCCAUGUUGGUCUCGGUUAGGGUUCACAUAGACCAAUAUCAAGCUAAUAUAAGAAUGUGCCUAAACUAUGUCAAAUUAUGUUAUAUGAUGAACCUCCCCAAAGAAAGUAAGUAAAUGUAUAAACAAUAGUUUCAGUCUCAUAGAUAACUACAAAGACUGUCUGCGUAUUUUCCAGUCAUUUAUCUAUCCAGAAAUUCCAAAAUUUAAGGCUAUCUAGGAAGAGUGUCAGUGUUGAUCUGCCUACUACACAAUGCUGUUUGCAAUCUUGGGAAUUGGAUCUCUAUAUUUUCUGCACUGAAUGGUUUUAACUCUAAGCAAUUUGUCCUAGAUCAGGGGUUUCCAAGCUAAGGCCCGUGGGCUGCAUACAACCCUCCAAGGUCAUUUACCUGGCCUCUGCCCUAAACUUUAUCAGCCAAAAAGCAGGUCCACACUUUCCAUUGAAAUUCUGAUAAGUUUAUGUUGGUUAAAAUUGUUUUUCAUUUUAAAUAUUGUAUUGUUCUUUCAUGCAUUUUUGCACUACAAAUAAGAUGUGUGCAUAGGAAUUAGUUCAUGUUUUUUUCAAACUAUAGUCUGGCCGCCCAACAGUCUGAGGGACUGUUAACCGACCCUAUGCUUAAAAAGUUUGAGGACCACUGUCCUAGGUACUUUAAUGCUUUUCAUCUUUCAGCCUAUCUGCACUUUAGAGUCAAUGCAAUUUGACACCACUUUAAUUGCCAUGGUUCAACACUAUGGCAUCUUGGAAGUUUUGGGGAGACAACAGCGCUAUUCAACAGAGAAGACUAGAUCUUAUAAAACUGCAGUUCCCGUGAUUCCAUAUAAUUGAGCCAUGGCAGUAAAAGUAUUGUCAAACUGCAUUAAUUCUAUAAUGUAGAUAUACCCUUAGCAUCAGAUGUGCAGUCAUUCUUUCUUUGUUUUGUUCAAAGUUUUACCCAGUAGUUAUUAUUUAGCUGAAUCUCCUCUUUUGUCUUUACAGUUGUCAAAUAUAUGUGUAAGAAAUGCUACUGUAUAUUGCUGCAGCUGAGAUAAAAAAUUAUUUCACAUGUUUGCAGUUUCCACACAAUCCCCCAUAUUUAUGUGUUUAUUAAAGCUUCAUUAGAUCUGCAGUACAGAAGAAUCAUACCAAUUGUACUGAUAUAGCAUUGAUGCUUUCAAUUCUAAGCUUUAUACAGAACAAAGCCAAUUUCUGAUUGUGUAGCAUUAGUUAACAAUUCAUGUUUCACAAUGAGCAACAGUUGUUUUCUGAUCUGUUUGAUAUUCUGCGUGGGAGAACAUUGCUUCACUUGAAAAGAUGCUGAUCACAAUCUCACAUUUCUUUCAGUUGAUUUGCUCUUGAGGUUGUGCUUUGAAACUCACUUUUCAGGCACAAUGGUUUUAGAAGAAUUGUUCACAGAUUGUCUGAGAUUGUUGAAAAAUUAUUUUAUAGUGCCCUAUACAAGUUUUAUUUCUCUAGUCUUUCAGUUCAUGAGUAAGCCUGUAUCUGAAGUUUCUAGAGUCCUAUGACUCUAGAAAAUAAAAAAUGAAUGAAAAAAGUAAUAAGACCAACAAUAGAACUAGGAUGACUUCCAAUCAAAAGAAUGUUUACAACAUAAAAUGAUUACUAGCUAUUUUUUUAAAAAAAUAAAUACAUAUAAAUGGAUCUUAAAUGGAUAACGCACAGAAAACAGUUGUGAAAUGAAGCUUUAAACAUAUAUGAAAUAAGCAGUAACUAAAAAUAAGGGGAUGCAAGAGCAUGACUGCAUUGGGAAAGUCAGGGAUUAAUGCUUUCAUGGCCUUUGAAAUUACAGUAGACCAGUAAACACCAGAAAGUGUUUUCCUGGCCAAGUAUGAGAAUUAUUAGUCUCAGCUACCUGGAGAACCAAAGUUCCUUAUGUCAAGACGCAGUACAUCAAGAGAAAAGCUGAAUAUGAGCAGUUAAUAAUAAUAAUAAUUAUUAUUUUAUUCUUAUAUCCCGCCUCCAUCUCCCCGUGGGGACUCGGGGCGGCUUACAAAUGUAGAACAAAAGUACAAUAACAUUGGGAACCGAACAAUAAUGCAAAUGUAAGUUUAAAAAGACAUAAAUAAAAUGUCAACCAUUAAUAAAACACAGGUUAAAAUACAGCAAUAGAAUCAUAAAAAUGGGCUGGGCAAAAGUUCACUAAGUAAGACUUGUAAACAUGGUGGAAGUUAAAGUGCAGUUCUGUCCAUAAAUAUUGACUCUGUGUGUGUGUAUCUAAUGGUCCUUGAAGUUGAUAAUUUAAUAUGAGUAAUUUGAAUUGAGCCCUAUCAGUUUUUGAUGAGGUGUUUAAGUGAUAUAUUUGAUAUACUUGUGUUGUGGAUUCAUUUCUUUCACGUAGUUUCUAUUCACCCUCAAUACUGAUAUGUUUGCUAGAAUAUUUCUGUCUCUGAAUGUUGCUCCCUAGAAAUCAAUUAGCAUUUCAUUGUGUAAAUGCUGCUGCUUUCACAAUGUGUUUGUUAUAUAUUUUAUUAAUCCCUCUGUAAUUUACAUAAAAAUAUCACAAGUAAUGUAAAAAAUAGAAAUUUGAUGGCAGGUAACAUUUUAAGAUAAUUGCACUUUAAUCGCAAAAUUACUCAGCAAUUCACAUAAAUUACAUAUGUCUACAUAAGUGGGAAAUCAGUUAAUUAAUCACAAUUAAUGUAACUCAAAAAUCCUAUGAAUUAAUUAUUGCUGUAUCCACAAAUUUUAAAAGAUUUUGAGAUGAAGUUAACAUCCUAAGUGCAUAUUAUCUAAUUAACCAAUGACAAAAGUACUUCUAUAGGAGGGCAAGAGACACAUUAUCAGAAGGGAAAAACAAAAAGUUUGAAAGUAAAAGGUAUUAAUUCAUGGUAAAAGGAUGUUUUAUAAUGAUCUGCUUCUUUUAUCUGUAAUUUGUCAUGCGCCUAUGACAUGGAAAUGGAUUUUAAAUAAUUUUAGGGCCAUAAGUGUAAUCAUUAUUAUAAUUGUGGAACCAUGUCUUCAUGAACACAAUAAUCCCAAUUCUGGGUUCUUUGAAAAUGUAAGAGCAGUCUGUAAGAUCUACUCCUUGGUGCAUAAAACAUUGCUUGAAUGAACAGUGAGAACAUAAUCAUGCAAUAAACGUUAGCAUAGAGGUGGCCCAGAGUACCUUCUUGAAAAUGAAGAAUAUGAUAAACAAUGAAAACUUGAAAUUAGCCUUCAGAAUUCAUACUGUAUGGUAAUACAAAUUCUCAGAUCUGCCAUAUGGCCAUUUUAAUCAGUUCUACAGUUUGGAGUCAGUAGCUUGUAACACAUUCUACUAUAAAAGGCGAGAAAAGGAGGAAGGAACAUUUUGAAAUGUGAACAUAGCACAUAGUUAUGAAUGGAAAGAAUUUUCAUAAAUAUUUAUAAAAUGUUCAGAUAACAUGUUUUUUGAGUAUUAGGAAAACCUGAUGAGAAGAAUUCUGGAUCAAAGAGAAUAUUGGCAUUGAAAGUCUUAUUCUGUGAAAAAAAUUGGUGUUUGUUUUCCAUACAAAACAUUUCUAUAUUUUUAUAUCUAUCUUCGUCAAUGAAUAUGUUUCUUUUUUCGACUGCUACUUUUUAUUCCUGGGGGUAUUCAUUAUAAUUACACUGUAUACCUUUCAAAACUUGUAAAUGCAGAUGAGUUAGACAGAAGGGCAUGCAGGCAAAAACCAUUAAAUAAUACUCUCCAGUCUUUUGUACAACAGAAUUAUGGUAUUAUUUAGAACACCUUCUAAAAUCUUGUGAACUUGAUAACAACAGCAAACUGUGUUCAUUUUCAGACACUGGCACCAAUCUGAUAAUAGGUUCUGAAUCAUGGCUGUAGCCCUUGACAUUCGCUUUUCUGUGCACAGAUGUAGGUGGACAGUUCAGUCAAUAAAGAGCUAUUCUUCCCAUCCUUGACUCUCUGACACAAGGAAACCUUAUUCUUCAUACAGGUAAAUCUCAAAAGAACCUCUCUGCCACUAUGAACUAUAGACUUGGACAUCUGCUUCUCAUUAAUCAAGCUUUGGAAAAUUGCAGAAAGAAAUCAUAACAUGUCUAUCUGUGGUUCUGGGCUUGGCGUGAGAUAAGAUGAAGUAGGCCCUGAACCAUGAAACAUGUCAGUGUAUAGAUUGCCUUUGGCAAAUAUUUAUAUAUUCAUUUUGUGAAACUUCAAACUGCUCUUCAGAUUUUAUAACUUUAAAAGUGGGGAAUUAAAUGAAAUAAACCAGGGUGUGUCAAAUGGCAGAAAUCAAAUCUGUUUUCGUUCUGUUUUUGUGUCGUUAUUGGCGUUGUCAUCCCCGGUUAUAUUUUUGGGAAGAUUCUGGAAGAGCCAUUCGAAUUCGUAAUUCGGGAUCUGGAGUUCCACUUCAGAAAGAAUCUUCCCAAAAACAGAAAGGGAGGGGACGCAAAAUCAAAAACCAAAACAACAUAAUUCUGCUGUUUCACACACCCCUAAAAUAAACAAUAUCAAUGACUAUCGAUAGCAUCUAUAAAAUGCUGUACUAGGAAUUAAUGGCAUGAACAAAUCAAAUCCAAAACAUGCAAAAUAAUGCAUGCCUGUCCAAAAUCAACCUUUGUGUAAUGGCUUUCCACUGUAUGGAUAUAUAUAAUGAAAAAAGUAGAAACAGCUCAGAUACAAGCAAUAGAACCAGGAUUAAAUGCUUUUAAAGCCUGUUGAAUUCAAUACAUUCAACAUCUUGGCCAGACAGCAGAAGGUGGUGAUAUGAUGCCAAAGAGGCUUCCCAAAUAACAGAAUGUCAUACAUUUUGUGUAUGUCUACAUACUCAGGUAUCUAAUUCUGGCAAAUGAAUUUCUGAAUCUUGAGGCCACCACCAAGAAUGUUGUGCUACCUGUAGGACUGAAUGUCAUUGUGGAUGGUAGUAUCAUGCACAGUCUCAACUGAUAAUCAAAAGUGAUAACUAAAACAUUGUUGCAUUCCCCCCAUGCCCACACUAAAUGUACCUAUGAAAAUAGCGGAAUAACCUCCUCUAAAUAUCUGAAGCAGGUUCAUAUGACAGAAUUUGGUAAUUCGAUUAAUCUGAAUUCAGCUCAUAUAGAGAUUUAUAGGGUAGUAACAAUAGUUCUGUAUUAUGCUCAGAAGCAGACAGGAAACCAAUGUAGUUUUUUGAACAUGGGAGUUGUGUGCUCCCUGUCACUGUCCCUGACUCUUUAGACCACUUGAAGUAUCCAAGCACUCCUCAGGUGAAUGAAGUUUCUUUCUCAGCUAUUCUGAGGACUUAAGCAGAGUGGCUUCAGACUAAUUUGUAUACCAAAUGAUCACUCUGAAAUGUCUUUCAAAAUGCUCCAUAAGGACUGUUGAAUGAGUAGACCCCUCGUGAUUGAACAAAAAGUAACAUUUCAGUGAGUGCUGCUUUGGAAAGAAAUGUUAUUGUAUUCUCAUUGCCUUCAAAUGUAACUUAUUACAGGUAAAACAUCUUUGUUGGUGAUGAUUGCCAGGUCUGAUUACCUUGUCUCCAAACUUCUCUAUGGUUCAAGGCACUCUCUGUGGAGAGAUCUGUUCCUUCAGAUCUCUGAUGACACUGUGGUGUUAUACCACCAAGAUGCUGUGACUAGUAAUGCCAAGUCAACAGACAUACUUCGCCCUGUUUGGGUAUGCACUUGUGAAGGAAAAAUUGGAGUCAGUGUAGUGUAUUAGUCUGAGUAUUGGACUAGGAUAUUAGAGCAGAUCAGGGUUGGAAUCUCUGCUCAGCCAUUGAAACCUACUGGAUAGCCUUGUCUUAUUCACACUUCUGUUAACCCUUAAAAAUAAUUAUUCAAGAACUGAAUAAUUGUGGAUAGACUCACCAGAUGAAUUAUACUUUGGUCCUUCAUUUACUACUGUGUUCCUGUUUCUGCAGUUAGGUUUCCAGCGAAAUUCAAUGAUACAAAAGCAUGGGAGAUUUUUCAGAGCUCAGAUACAAGAUGUGUUUAUGGCAUUCUAGCAUAAAAGAUCCAGGGUUUGACUAGGGCAGUCUUACUUUAGGUUGUCAGACACUGCUAAAGCAGUGAUUCCUACUAAGGCUUACAGUAGUUUUGUGCAAUGAUUAGCUCCCUCUUGACACACACAGAAUAACACUAAUGCUGAACCUGAGAGAUGUGUUUACUUUGUCUGUUGGUUUCAACUGUUCUUAGCUUAUUGCUGGUGGGCAACUAAGAAAAUAAAACAGCACCCCGCAUGCAGAAAUUGUCACAGAGGGAUGGGUAAGAUACACUUUCAGCAGCACAAGCAUAAUUAGAAUAUGAUAAUAUGUGGUUAUAUGAUACUUUAUCAGACUUAGAAGAAGGUUUUUCUUUUAAUUUCACUAGUCUCAUGGUUUGUUUCUUUAUAGAUUUCUGUAUUGUAUUUUAUUAAAAUAUUUAUAUCCUAUAACACAGGACCUCAUGGAGGGAUACAGAAAAAAAUCAUUUUAAAACAAUUUAGGAAAGAAAAUAAAGUUAAUGAGGAAUAAAUCAUACCGUGUAAAAGCUUUGAAACUAUUCAACAGUUAAAUCAAAUAAACCUGCAUAGUUUAUCUUUGCAUUGUGUUGGCUCCACUGCUGGAUGGCUGGAUAUAUCAUCAAAUGCUUCCUUCACACACACAAAAGAGUAGACAAGUUACUUCAUUAUCUGUUUCCAUAACAGCUUCCCUGUAGAGGUCACUUUGACAUCUUAACUUUCAAAAUACUGGAGGAAUUCACAAAGGUUAUUACUCUUAAGUUUCUUUCAUGAUAGCUAAAUUGGAUUUCCUUGUUUAGAGAUAACUUAUAUCUGAAACACAACUGGUAGAAACAGAUCUAUCUUGCCCUCGUUUUUGAUCUUCCAGGACUAUUUGGUGGUGAUGCUGGUCACAGAAUUUACUUAGGUAAAUCUUUGUUUGAUCUAGAAAGUCAGUUUUUAUAUUUUUAAUUUAUAUAGUGUGAUAUCUUUGCCCAGAAAGUCAUUUCACAACCCAAGGAGAGUGAUUUUUUUCUUGGGUUGUUUUAAAUAUUGACUAUUAUGGCAUGAGAUUAAACUGCUGUAGAAACAGAGUGUUCAAGAAUGUCAUUAUUUCUGCAUUUUUCUGCACUAACUUAAUUCCACCUCCAGCACUGACAAAAAGUAUCCUGUGGUUUUUUUUUUCACUUUUCAAUCUGUUACCAUACAGUUCUCAGUUCAAAGAUAUAUCAGGUGUCUUUGAAAAUGUGUAUUUUGGUUAAAGAACAAGGUGGGAUCAUGUUCCAUGAUGCAAUAUAAGAAAUUAGUGUUUUAUUAUAGACUUUCACACAAAAACAUAUUUUCUGAAACAGUAUGUGGGGAAAAUAAUGUGUUUUCAAGCAGUUGUAAUUUUAAAAAAUGAGUUCUUCAUCCAGUUUUUAAAGAUUGAUAUGACUAUGGGACAGAAUGAAUGUAACAUGCAAAACUUACAAACUGGAAAUAGACUGAUUCAUCAGUUCAACACUGAAACACAGAGCCAUGUGGAGGAGGAUUUACUGUGAAGUAGAGAAGAAAAACCAAGACUGUAUAAAACCAAAAUCAUUCAUAAUCUUAGUAGAAAAUUUGCCUGGUAAUUAUUGGGUUGGGAUUGAUGUUUUCAUGUAAGGUUUAUGUGAACAGAAGUUUCAAUGGUAUCACAAACACAGCUUAAAAUUUCCUUCACAGCAAGUGCUAGCAAAACUCAACCAAGCUACUCACUUUCAAAGAGUUUUAGGGAUACAGAACUCCAACAAAAAUGGGGAAAACACAUUUCUAGAGAACACAUCUCUAGAAAUGUCUUAAGGCCCCCAGGUUGGUUGUAUGAUCAGAUACUGCUAGUAGAUGACUAUAGAAUUUCCUUGGAGCACCUUGAGUAUUCUAGAAAAGUGUUCUCUCUAGGAAUCUGUAGUUGCUCCAAUGCAACUUUGGCAAAUUUUUGGCAAAGUUCACUAUAGAAAUGCACUGGAGGAGUGGAAAGUUUCCAAACAUAUUAAUCAAAUGGGUAACUAAUGAAAUCCAUGAAAGUUAAAUCAACAAAUAUGGAGUGCUGACUGCAGUCCAAAAAGAGCACUUUUUCUGGGAAGAAAGUAAAUGCUUUCGCAGGUCAUUUUCCAUAAUAUUUUUGCCAACCCAAAUUUAAAUAACAAGUGUGAUCAAAAUCAAUUCAGAAAUGUGUAUUUAUGAGCAAAUAUACAGAAUCCCAACAGUAACUAGAUACUGUACCUGAAAUAUUUGAAGGAUCUGGUUUAAAACCAAAUCUUUGAGACUCUCUUAUAAAAAAAAUGCUUGGAACCAGAAGGUUUUUUUUUUUUUAGAUUAUUGUUUAAAGACUGGUGUUUUCAUAUACAUAGUGAAUGGGGGAAUGGAGGGGGACUAAUCACAUGGCCAAUUCCCAUUGAGAUUUUCCUCAAUGGGAAAAGAGAAGACUGGUAAGGAAGGAGGUAUUUGCUUACCCAAUCCCCUCUAAAAAGCAGAUGCCCUAGAGUCUCCCCUGGCUGUCAGCACACUUUCCAUCUUUUAGCCAAGUAGCUGGGAAGGGAUGGGGAAAUCUUUUUCCUACAAUUCUGCUGGUGAGUCUUUUUUAUUCUCUCCUGAGGGCCCUCCCACGCAGCCAUAUAACCCAGAAUAUCAAGGCAGAAUAACCCACAAUAUCUGCUUUGAACUGGAAUAUCUGAGUCUACACUGCCAUGUAUCCCAGUUCAAAGCAGAUAAUUUGGGACUUUUUUCAGCUGUGUGGAAGGAUCUGAGCUCAAUACAGGCAGCAGCCAACUAGGUUACUUUGCUAUGACUCUUAAGGCUUCUAGGAUGUCUGUUUUAGUGGAGCCUUGUUUAAGCAGACAGGCCUGAAUCCUUAUUAGUUUUAGCAUUGCUUCUAUCCAGCAUAGUCAUUGAAUUAAAGGAAUUUGCAUAUUUUUUGGUUUGUUGUUGCUGUUCAUUCAGUUCUAGUUGGAUUAGCAAUAGAAUUUCUGCAAGCAUAAGGAAAUACUGGGCAAGAUUCCUGUGGUCAGAAAUACAUAUAUUUUUCUUUGAGUUCUCGGUACAAUAUUUAAGAAAGAUAAGAGCAAGCUGAAAUAGAUGAGAACAGUUGAGAUGAUAGAGUAUGUCAACCUAUUUUCUUAAGUGAUGGGACUUCCCUUCAUUGUAGGCUUUUACACACAGGUUGGAUGAUGAUCUCUCAUUGAUGCCUGAGUUAUGGAUUUGUUUUUUGGCAAUGGAACCCAUUCUAUGUUUGCACUUCUAUAUGAACAUUCAUAGAAAAUCCUAAGAGGGAAAAAGUGGUGGGAAAUAAAGCUUUGUAAUAAAGAGCAAUUAAUAUCCGCCUGGUCAGAAGUGUGGCUAUAACAUUGAAUAAAAUAUAGGUAUUUCUAAACGUCACAUUUCAGGAAUAGCCAAAAGAUAAAGGUUAACCAAGGACAUAGCAGCAUGGAAGAACAUAUCUGAGUGCAUUAGGGAGAUUUAUCUGAACAAUCUAGACUCUGAACAACCAUCAGCUGAAAGGCUGAUUGACAUGUAUAGUGAUUAUUUUUGGUCAAUCACAGUCCAAAGUGAAUUUUAUUUUUUUCAUCAUCCUUCCUUAGUUCUCUUUUUACUUAUUAAACUUUAGGUUGUACCUAUAGCAGCUGUCAGGUAUUUUUCCCAAAGGAGGUGCAGACUCUCUCACUCAGCCAUUAUCUGACAGUUUUGAGGUUCCCCUCUGUAGAGCUUAUGAUGGAAAGGCUAUCAGACAAGCCGGCAAAACAGUUGCAGUUGCCACAGCAUUGCACUUCCUAGUGGGAAAGGGAACAGUCAGUCUCAAAACACUGGUCUGACUGACACUAUCCAACUGUUUUGCAAAGUGUGCUCAAAAGUUCAGACAGGGAAUAGCGUUGAUUGACUAGAGCUAAGCAAAGGCUAAAUGUCAGCCUUUCAUGUCUAAACUUGUUCCAGUUCUCUUAACAGGCUGACAGAUAAAGUGAUGUCUAGAAUGAAGACUGACAAAGAAGUAAAGAUUGAAGGAGAGUGUAGAAGAGGAUGGCUGCAUUAAGCAUUUAGAAGUUAAUCCAAGGAUUAGAUUUUUAAAACGUAUUGCUCAUAUUUUAAAUCAGGAUACAAUUAAUACAUGAAAAGGAGAUCAAGCUAGUACUCCCGUGGUAUGAAAUUUCAAACCAAAUAAAUGAUUUUCAGUUGUCCUCAAAUCCAGUAGUGCCGGUGGCCUGCUCUUGUUCAUGCUCUGUGAUCUGUACUGUUUACUCAAUGCUUUACUAGGAGUGGAAAUAUUUGCUAUUACUUACUUUUGUGAUCCAGAAAAUGAAUUUCCCAACAUGUGGGCAUGUGCUCAUGAACUCAGAAGCAAUUUCUUUUGCAGUUUUUGUACUCACAUAUUCCUAGGUUUUUCAGAAAAUUAUUUUGCACAAAAAUACAAAGGAUAAGGUUUGUGCCAAAACCAUGGGAUUUGAACAGAAAAUAUGUUUUUCAUACAAGUUUCCAGAAUAUGCUUUUGUGUAAAAAAAAAAUGGUUGCUGUUUUUUUUAACAAAACAUUACUUUUGCUGAAAAAUAAAACAUGUAUUUUUUAGAAACUCUUCGUAGAAAUGUGUGCGCUUUUCCUUCAAAAAAUCAUGGGUUUUAUUCAAAACACACAAAAAAGCCACAUGUAGAUUUUUGCAUGAAAUGUUUAUGUCAUUCCCCCCCCCCACACACACAC
This is a long non-coding RNA of Anolis carolinensis (green anole), 13240 nucleotides long. RefSeq lists it as uncharacterized. The transcript is spliced from 3 exons. The record is from RefSeq and is a predicted model, not a curated record. NCBI's taxonomy places the organism in Eukaryota, Metazoa, Chordata, Lepidosauria, Squamata, Anolidae.